This 253-nucleotide ribosomal RNA is filed under the name uncultured bacterium. RNAcentral's name for it is "partial 16S ribosomal RNA". It matches the Rfam family "Bacterial small subunit ribosomal RNA", at positions 524 to 776 of the family's 1533-position model. The record is from RNAcentral.
GACGGAGGGUGCAAACGUUGCUCGGAAUCACUGGGCGUAAAGGGCGUGUAGGCGGGAAGGAAAGUCAGAUGUGAAAUCCCCAGGCUCAACCUGGGAACUGCAUUUGAAACUCCCUUUCUUGAGUACCGGAGAGGAAAGUGGAAUUCCUGGUGUAGAGGUGAAAUUCGUAGAUAUCAGGAGGAACACCAGUGGCGAAGGCGGCUUUCUGGACGGUAACUGACGCUGAGACGCGAAAGCGUGGGGAGCAAACAGG